UACUCAGGAAGCUGAGGCAAGAGAAUCG
This 28-nucleotide non-coding RNA is filed under the name Homo sapiens (human). The record is from RNAcentral. Lineage: Eukaryota; Metazoa; Chordata; Mammalia; Primates; Hominidae.